RNAcentral lists this ribosomal RNA (371 nucleotides) under uncultured organism. RNAcentral describes it as "bacterial SSU rRNA". It matches the Rfam family "Bacterial small subunit ribosomal RNA", at positions 527 to 896 of the family's 1533-position model. The record is from RNAcentral.
GUAGGGUGCUAACGUUGUUCGGAAUCACUGGGCAUAAAGAGCGCGUAGGCGGUCUGAUAAGUCAGGUGUGAAAUCCCCCGGCUCAACCGGGGAACUGCACCUGAUACUGUUGGGCUUGAGUGCAGGAGGGGAGAGCGGAAUUCCUGGUGGAGCGGUGAAAUGCGUAGAUAUCAGGAGGAACGCCGGCGGCGAAAGCGGCUCUCUGGCCUGUUACUGACGCCGAGGCGCGAAAGCUAGGGGAGCAAACGGGAUUAGAUACCCCGGUAGUCCUAGCCCUAAACGAUGGGUACUAAGUAGAGGAAAUUCCGAUAUUUUCUCUGCCGGAGCUAAUGUAUUAAGUACCCCGCCUGGGGAGUAUGGUCGCAAGGCUA